GACGAACGCUGGCGGCGUGCUUAACACAUGCAAGUCGAACGUGAUUUUUGUAGAAAUUCCUUCGGGAAUGGAAAUGAAAUGAAAGUGGCGAACGGGUGAGUAACACGUGAGCAACCUACCUUACACAGGGGGAUAGCCGUUGGAAACGACGAUUAAUACCGCAUGAGACCACAGAAUCGCAUGAUAUAGGGGUCAAAGAUUUAUCGGUGUAAGAAGGGCUCGCGUCUGAUUAGCUAGUUGGAAGGGUAAAGGCCUACCAAGGCGACGAUCAGUAGCCGGUCUGAGAGGAUGAACGGCCACAUUGGAACUGAGACACGGUCCAAACUCCUACGGGAGGCAGCAGUGGGGAAUAUUGCACAAUGGGGGGAACCCUGAUGCAGCGACGCCGCGUGAGCGAAGAAGGUUUUCGAAUCGUAAAGCUCUGUCCUAUGAGAAGAUAAUGACGGUAUCAUAGGAGGAAGCCCCGGCUAAAUACGUGCCAGCAGCCGCGGUAAUACGUAUGGGGCGAGCGUUGUCCGGAAUUAUUGGGCGUAAAGGGUACGUAGGCGGUUUUUUAAGUCAGGUGUGAAAGCGUGAGGCUUAACCUCAUUAAGCACUUGAAACUGGAAGACUUGAGUGAAGGAGAGGAAAGUGGAAUUCCUAGUGUAGCGGUGAAAUGCGUAGGUAUUAGGAGGAAUACCGGUGGCGAAGGCGACUUUCUGGACUUUUACUGACGCUCAGGUACGAAAGCGUGGGGAGCAAACAGG
This 746-nucleotide ribosomal RNA is filed under the name uncultured Parvimonas sp. RNAcentral's name for it is "bacterial SSU rRNA". It matches the Rfam family "Bacterial small subunit ribosomal RNA", at positions 28 to 776 of the family's 1533-position model. Lineage: Bacteria; Bacillati; Bacillota; Tissierellia; Tissierellales; Peptoniphilaceae. The record is from RNAcentral.